Oxyura jamaicensis (ruddy duck) is the source of this 4984-nucleotide long non-coding RNA. RefSeq lists it as uncharacterized. The transcript is spliced from 3 exons. NCBI's taxonomy places the organism in Eukaryota, Metazoa, Chordata, Aves, Anseriformes, Anatidae. The record is from RefSeq and is a predicted model, not a curated record.
GGAGAGUCGCUCUCGCUCUCGCUCGCUCUCGCACACACACACACGCACACACACGCACACACACACACACACACACGCACACACACACACACGGAGGCACAGACACACAGCCACACGCACAGCCACACGGACACACAGCCACACGCGUGCACCCGCCCGCUCGGCUCCGCUCCCGAGCUGCCUCAGCAAGGAGGAGCCCGGACGGAAACCACCAGGGCAGCAAGAGUCCUGAUUUCAGGGAAGUGGGUGCAGGUCUCGUUCAAAGAAUCAUUCUCCAAUGCCAUUGGCAUUACCUGCCAAAAAUGAAAGUGGCAUAUGAAUCACAAUAAUUCACUCAUGAUUUUGUGGAUAUAGAGCCUGCCAAGGAACAUCAGCCACAUGUUAUUCCUGAGUUUUAUGGACUUUGGACAGUGGUAAAAGUAAAUUUAUCCAAAGACCAUCUUAUUGAUGACCCAUCCUAUAUGGAUGACAGACAUAACAUAUUCAACAGAAAGACAAUAUUAACUGAAAAUAUUAAUGUGUAAAUGUUUAUCUUUCAAGCGGGGUGGUGAAAUUGGUGAAUCAGAAGACUGAAACUAUGUCAGAAGCCUUUCCUGAGGUGCCCCUUAUUGGAGUGUUACUGUGACAUAAUGAUUUGGAAAUAUGUUUUUGUGUGAGAAGAGCUAUCAGAUCCUCUGGGAAAUAUUGCAGAUACUUUCCAGUUCCUUUCAGACAUGCAAAUACGCUGAUGUUUAGACAUGAGUAAAGAGUAGAGGUGGGGAGUAGAGUAGAGCAGGGAGUGGAGUGGGGUUAAAAGCCUCUGCGUAGAUCACAGAACCAUAUAAAUACACACAUUUUUUUCUGAAUCUGAUGUUGGUGGGGGCUUGGAAUAAAAUGGUCAUUAUUAAGAAGAAACACUGCAAAAAUGUGUGCAUACUUGAGAAUUAUGUUGACCAUGGCUGACAGAGAAGACCAUCUCCUGCCUGUAAUUACAGAUGAUCAACAGAAGAUCAACAGAACUCUCAGUAAUGCUGAGAUACUCGUGCCAUUCCCAAGUAACACACACCUUAUAAAGUAUGGCUUAUUUCCAGUUCAUAGAGUACAGCUAAAGUUAUAGCACUGAAAAACUCUGCAUGCUACCCAGCACUUCUUAUGGUUCCUUGCAUUCUUAAUUAUUUGCUUUAAACUGAGCACAUCAGAAACUGUUUUAUUUUUUUAUUUUUUAUUUUUUAUUUUUUCCUAAGAAGCUACAAGAAUGGCAGCCUAUGUAUUGUAACAUGUUCAUACACUUGUGAAACAGAGCAAAAAGACUGCUCACUAGCAAGGUCUGCCCCUAGCUGUCUCAGCAGCUUAAUGAAAUGUUAAGACUUGGUUUGAGCAACUGUUCUCCAAAUGAUAUUAGCAUUAUCUGCAGAUGAAAAUGUCAGUAAAAAAAUACAACCAUGCUGGAGAGGCCUUCCAUGUCUAUUUUAAAUGCAAGUGGCCAUUAUCAGCUUUAUCAGAACUGUAUCUGAUGACUGAUAUCACUGGUGGCUCAGUGGAAGAGAUCCGGAUUACUUUUUUUCUGAAUGUGGCAGCUACUUUCAGAGUAUUUCUGCAGUCUUCUGAUUAUCUCACUAUCUGUUGGCUAGAAACCAAUCUCCUGAACUUAGGCCUAUGUCACCUCAUUACCUGAAUGCCUCUUCUAAAAAUUUGUUCACUGGAAAGUGUAUCAUGUCAAUAAUAAAUUCAUCUGUCCUUCUCCAGACUGGCUUGAGUUUCAUCCAGUCAUUCACUGAAGGUUCUUUUUCCAAGCCCUGAUGCUACACAGUACCUCAAUCCAUUCAGCUUCUCUUCAAGAUGGUAACUACUUUCCGCUCCACUUUCGGCUGCAGAUCUUUUGAUUACCUAUGAAAGUAAAUUGCAUCCUGUAGAUUUCCUCUUACAACUUCUGCUUUACAGAAGAAAAGAUCAACUUGUGGCAGAUGCAUCAACGACGUCAGACUCGCUUCUCUGUUGUCUGAUUGCCCUCUCCACCUUCUGUCGAUCUGAAACUUUCAUUUUGGAAAGGAUUGAAGGGUUGCAUUAAUAUUUGUGUUAACCACCUUUUCCUGCACAUUGUCUGUUCCUUCCCCUUGGCGUCUGGCUUGUCUUGGCUGCUUUUAAAAACUCUGUUGCCUCUAGUGAGGGACUGCCAGAUUAAACCAGUGAAGAGAAACCAGGUGACUGUCUACUUUUACGAAUAUAGGUUGUGUAUAAUAAAUUCAGGUUUUACAUCUAAGCAAAUUAAAUCAUCAUAUGAUUCUGACUACAUGCAUUUUUUAUCAAAUAUGGCAUAUAUUUCACAAAUUAUAUUUAACUUAUACGCAUGUUGCUAUUCUGAAUACCUAACUAGGAGAGUUACAAGGUGUGCCACUAGAUCUUAGUAAAUGGGUUUAUGGAACCAGAAGAAAUAAGAUAAAAUCAUCUCUUUUUCUUGCAUUCCUGACAAGUCCAGUGGAAGGGCUUUUCCUGCUCUGUAGAUGGCAAUGUAAACACCUCACCACAGAUCUGUUUAGAGAUACAAGUACAUUUUAUUAUUAGAAAUUUAGAGAAUUUAUAAAGGCCUAAGCAGAAAUUGCCCACAAUAAGGACGUUUUAAAGCAAUGUCUUUGGUCCAGAGUUUACCACAUCUAGUCAGUAAGGUCUUCCUCUACUGUUUCUGUCAUGUAGUGGAAGACAUUAGUUACAAUGUCAGAAUAAACAUGUUACUUCUGCAAAAAAAAAUGUUUUAACCUCAGGAAUAUUGCAACAUGAAAAUGGGAUUUAGCACAAUUCUCCCUUUGUGGUUUAUCUACAGACAGGACAGUUUUAGUGUAAAGCCCUAAACCUUGCAAGAUGAUUACCAGUCAGAGGUACACCAUACCUUGAGCAUCAAUCUGUCAGCUGAGCACUGACAAGGACUAUCCUGUGAAGUGUCCUGCUGCAAGGAGAGAGGCUGGGUUGGAGCAUGGCCUUCUGUUCCUGGAACUCACCCUGGCUUCCCGCGUGCCUUGCUGAGCCGAGGAUGUGGGCACAGAAACAGGGAAUCCCGUUGAAAUUGCUGGAAAAAAACUCUCAUUAACUUAAUGAGAUUUGGAACAUUACAAGGGAACUCCAGCUGGAACCAGAUCUGAACCCGAGUGCGAAACAUUCCUGAAUAUACUACCACAAACUUGUUUCAAGGAGAAUAUGUGCUCAGACAUACAAAUGGCUAGAUUCUGAUCUCGGUAACGCCAGUGUGAGUCUCUUGACUCAUAUAAACUGAACUCAGAGGACUAGCCCUGAAGACUAUAAAAUGAAGACGCACACAUGCCACAGGAGACUAUGAAAGGUGGGUGGAGCUAUGAAGAUUUAGCCCCACACCUUGCUGGAACACCUUAAGACAGGUAGACCUGGCAGCAGUUGGCUGAGACAGGACUUUCAUCGUGCAUAAUCACUACUUUCCAUAAUUAAGAGUACAGUCUGACUGGGUUCACACUUACUGUGCUGUAGUCUAGCUAUGUUCAGGGUCUCCCCACAACACUUCUUUCCUUGCUCUCUAACAAACACACUUUACUUUCAUUUAUUUUGGAUAAGUAGCUGAGCAGCCAUGACUGUUGGGCUUCUUGGGGGGAAGAGGACUGACUUAGGAAUAUCACAAAGAUAGAAUGAGGAGAGAAGAAACAGAUUCUCCUUCCAGCAUGAUGUGAUAAGGCAGCAGGCUGGGCUCAAAAUAGGCAGAGGAAGUGCUGAAUGACCCAAGUGAUGACAGGCUUGGUGGCAUUCUCCUGCAUGUAUAGAAGACACUUGUUUUGUCCAUAUGUCUCUAUACCGUGGCUGAGAAACUACUGUAGUGUUCUCAUGGAGUGAUAUUCAGACUGCAAGUUUAAUCUGAAGGGGAAAGCCAGUCUGUUUCCAUCUAGUUUAUAAACUUUUGAAAAAUGUCAGCGGAAUAAAGAUCUCUACACUAACUAGUCUUUAUUCUUUUUCAUCUUGGGAUGUACCAAAAGCUCUUACUUCUAUCAAAGUUAACGUGAGUUUUCCUGAAAAAAAGAAUUGGACCUUGAUAGAGCUUUGACUUGUCACCUAUUUAAGAGUGUUUUCAUUACUUUCUGAUUACUUACCCAGUGUUGCCAAAUUUAACUUUUCUUUAUUAAGUAAUUUAAUACUCAGAGCUCACAGAAAACUUAACAUGUCAUCCAUCUCUUUCAUUUUAACUGAUUCAAAGCAAACUCCAUUUCUUAGAGCAGAUUAUUUUUGCAUUGCACAUCUUAACUUGCAGUGAGAGAGACUAAUACAAAACAAAUAAAAACUUUCUUUUCUGAAACUUUUGAACAAGUUAAAACACAUCCAAAACUGUAUUCACAGUAAUUGAUACUAAUUAAAAUGCUGAAGCUGCAUUAACAAGAAAUGAAAAGGAGUAUUUUGGGUCUUAUCUUUUGCAACGUGAAUGUUAUUCAUGCUCAGCUUUUCAUAAACGCAGAAAUAUUAUACCUUGUAUUAUUUCCAUGGUAAAUGCUAUUGCCGUUCGGCAUUUUAUGGGGUGUGGUUUAUAAUUUUAUUAACACCAUCUGUUGUUUAAAAGAUAAUAUAGAAUGUUUAAAAAUUAUCAAAAAUGCUGGUGUACACAAAAUCAGGAGCAAUAUUUGCAUUUUGCUCUUUGCCUGGCAAUUUAUCUGCACAUAAAGCUGAAGCCAGUUGAAUUUAACUCUUUAUGGUUCAUGUGAUACUUCAAAUAUCUCCACUAGACUAUGCAUUAAACACUAUUAGUAUCAUGAGCACAUUAUGUAUCUGAAACAGUCUUUGCUGCCAGAUCUUAAAAAUGCUAAAGGGUAAGGAGGGAAAUGAAAGGACAUAUUAUGAAAGGACUAAGGACCCUGAAGAUCAUCUACAAACAGAAUUACAUGUCUUUAAAUGGAAAGGCGGGCCAAGAAGAUGAACGAGGAAUGAAUUUGUUUGCGUGACUUACAUUUCUGUUAGAAACGCUUAGACACAUCUAAAGGAAAAAAAGAGUUUUUAAUUACUG